GAUUCUUCGGAUGAUUCUUAACUGACUGAGCGGCGGACGGGUGAGUAACGCGUGGGUGACCUGCCCCAUACCGGGGGAUAACAGCUGGAAACGGCUGCUAAUACCGCAUAAGCGCACAGAGCUGCAUGGCUCGGUGUGAAAAACUCCGGUGGUAUGAGAUGGACCCGCGUCUGAUUAGCUAGUUGGUGGGGUAACGGCCUACCAAGGCGACGAUCAGUAGCCGGCCUGAGAGGGUGAACGGCCACAUUGGGACUGAGACACGGCCCAAACUCCUACGGGAGGCAGCAGUGGGGAAUAUUGCACAAUGGGGGAGACCCUGAUGCAGCGACGCCGCGUGAGCGAAGAAGUAUUUCGGUAUGUAAAGCUCUAUCAGCAGGGAAGAAAAUGACGGUACCUGACUAAGAAGCACCGGCUAAAUACGUGCCAGCAGCCGCGGUAAUACGUAUGGUGCAAGCGUUAUCCGGAUUUACUGGGUGUAAAGGGAGCGUAGACGGUUGUGUAAGUCUGAUGUGAAAGCCCGGGGCUCAACCCCGGGACUGCAUUGGAAACUAUGUAACUAGAGUGUCGGAGAGGUAAGCGGAAUUCCUAGUGUAGCGGUGAAAUGCGUAGAUAUUAGGAGGAACACCAGUGGCG
This 633-nucleotide ribosomal RNA is filed under the name uncultured Lachnospiraceae bacterium. RNAcentral's name for it is "bacterial SSU rRNA". It matches the Rfam family "Bacterial small subunit ribosomal RNA", at positions 68 to 717 of the family's 1533-position model. Lineage: Bacteria; Bacillati; Bacillota; Clostridia; Lachnospirales; Lachnospiraceae. The record is from RNAcentral.